GUGGGAGCAGCAGGAAUGUCCUGCAGUUUCUCAGAGGGCUGGAGAGCAGGCAGAUGACAUUCCAGGACAGGAGUGCCACCGUAGCCACCCCAGCCUCCGUGCACUCAGCACCUUCUCUUCCUGUUAAAUUUGGGGACACAUUUGUACAGGGAUGAGUUGAGCCUGAUCACUGACUGCCUGAAGACCAGAAAAGGACAACUGGGAGGCUUGGAGAUGCUGGAUCCUUCAGCCAGCAGUGAGCAUUCCUCAUUUCAAGGCAGGAAUCCCCCCCAUUGUGGGCAAGCUGCCUCCACUUCUUCCAACUCCUGGCAGGAAAUCCUUCCUGGGUCCCUCCUUCAGCUCCUGUCAAGUCCCGUUUGUGAGGACUGGUCAACCCCGAAGGUCUGUUUUUCCCUCCCCUGCUUGUGGCAGGCCUCUCCAAGAGGCAUAACCCUUUGGGGUGCCCUGAAGGAUCCCCUAGGCUUCCCCAAGCCUGCCAAGCGCCCAGUACUUGAAGAGAAGCCAGGCCUUUUAGCACUGCCAUCAGUUCCUUUGCAGUUAGAGCCACAGGAGUGGGCAGCUCAGCCUGUGUCUUUGCUGAACUAAGGGAAGCUCCACCGAGCCUGGAGAACAAGGUGGUUUCUGCCCAGUUGGUGGCGUCACCCUCCUUGAAGGCCCCUGCCUGGCCUGCAGCACUGAUGUCCAGGCUGUGAGUACAAAUGUGGCUUCCGUCUGUCUGAAACGUGGUCCCAUAGAAACUUUUUCACGUUUGGGGUCUGUGCUGAACUAGAUAUUUGUGGAAAGUCAUUUUGUAGACAGUAGGCCUCGCAGUUGUUCAAUUAUGUGCGUAUUAAAAUACAAUAAAAAUGUCUAACUUUUAC
This 860-nucleotide long non-coding RNA is filed under the name Homo sapiens (human). Its description in RNAcentral is "HSALNT0230719". The record is from RNAcentral. Lineage: Eukaryota; Metazoa; Chordata; Mammalia; Primates; Hominidae.